GGGCCGGUGUUAAACGCAUGGAAGACUAACAACCACAGUCAUCUUAUAUUUUAAUAUUAAUCAAUCUACACAAUAGAGGUUACUUUGGUAACAUAAUGCUUCAAUUGACUAACUAAAAUAUUAGAUGCUAUAAACUUUAGUUCCUUAAGCCAUAUUAUGAAUCUUUAACUUAAUAAGUUACAUGUUUUGACAUGUAACACUUGAAUAUUAAUUGUUGUAUACUUGAGAGGACAAUUCCAAAAAU
RNAcentral lists this long non-coding RNA (244 nucleotides) under Nicotiana benthamiana. Its description in RNAcentral is "long non-coding RNA (NBEN_LNC037711)". Lineage: Eukaryota; Viridiplantae; Streptophyta; Magnoliopsida; Solanales; Solanaceae. The record is from RNAcentral.